This 26-nucleotide small RNA is filed under the name Bombyx mori (domestic silkworm). Its description in RNAcentral is "ovarian small RNA-32813". Lineage: Eukaryota; Metazoa; Arthropoda; Insecta; Lepidoptera; Bombycidae. The record is from RNAcentral.
UGAUGAGGAAGGAGUUAUCGACUCGG